GACGAACGCUGGCGGCGUGCUUAACACAUGCAAGUCGAACGGAAAGGCCUGCUUUCCCUUGUGUCUUGCGGGUACUCGAGUGGCGAACGGGUGAGUAACACGUGAGUGAUCUGCCCCCAACUUGGGUAUAAGCCUGGGAAACUACGUCUAAUUACCGAUAGGACUGCAGGGUGGUGCCUGUGGUGGCAAACGAUUUUCUAGUGGUUGCGGCUGAGCCGGCGGUCUAUCAGCUUGUUGGUGGGGUAAUGGUCUACCAAGCCGGCGACGGCUAGCCGGUCUGGGAGGGGGUACAUGCAGUGUGGAACAGCGAGACGGGGCAGAAGAUUGCGGCAGGCAGCCGAGGGGAAUAUUGACUGCUGAGUAGAAGACAGAAGCAGCGAGCCCGCGUCAGGGAUGACGGCCUUGGGGUUGUAAACUCCUUGCGACCGCGAGGAAUCCACCUGGUUGAAAGGGUAGUGACGGUAGUGGUAGAAGAAGCACCGGCUAACUACGUG
This 494-nucleotide ribosomal RNA is filed under the name uncultured bacterium. RNAcentral's name for it is "partial 16S ribosomal RNA". It matches the Rfam family "Bacterial small subunit ribosomal RNA", at positions 28 to 507 of the family's 1533-position model. The record is from RNAcentral.